GACGAACGCUGGCGGCGUGCUUAACACAUGCAAGUCGAACGGAAAGGCCCUGCUUUUGUGGGGCGCUCGAGUGGCGAACGGGUGAGUAACACGUGAGUAACCUGCCCUUGACUUUGGGAUAACUUCAGGAAACUGGGGCUAAUACCGGAUAGGAGCUCCUGCUGCAUGGUGGGGGUUGGAAAGUUUCGGCGGUUGGGGAUGGACUCGCGGCUUAUCAGCUUGUUGGUGGGGUAGUGGCUUACCAAGGCUUUGACGGGUAGCCGGCCUGAGAGGGUGACCGGCCACAUUGGGACUGAGAUACGGCCCAGAAUCCUACGGGAGGCAGCAGUGGGGAAUAUUGCACAAUGGGCGGAAGCCUGAUGCAGCAACGCCGCGUGCGGGAUGACGGCCUUCGGGUUGUAAACCGCUUUCGCCUGUGACGAAGCGUGAGUGACGGUAAUGGGUAAAGAAGCACCGGCUAACUACGUG
Molecule: ribosomal RNA, 468 nt
Filed under: uncultured bacterium
Lineage: Bacteria
Description: partial 16S ribosomal RNA
Rfam family: Bacterial small subunit ribosomal RNA
Source: RNAcentral